GGAGGAAUAGCUCAGUGGUAGAGCACAUGCUAAGCAUGCACAAGGUCCUGUGUUCAAUCCUCACUACCUCCA
This 72-nucleotide transfer RNA is filed under the name Camelus bactrianus (Bactrian camel). It matches the Rfam family "tRNA". From Rfam's summary of the family: Transfer RNA (tRNA) molecules are approximately 80 nucleotides in length. Their secondary structure includes four short double-helical elements and three loops (D, anti-codon, and T loops). RNAcentral also lists the same sequence under 1 other name. The record is from Rfam by way of RNAcentral. Lineage: Eukaryota; Metazoa; Chordata; Mammalia; Artiodactyla; Camelidae.